Bacillus rossius redtenbacheri is the source of this 454-nucleotide long non-coding RNA. RefSeq lists it as uncharacterized. The transcript is spliced from 2 exons. The record is from RefSeq and is a predicted model, not a curated record. NCBI's taxonomy places the organism in Eukaryota, Metazoa, Arthropoda, Insecta, Phasmatodea, Bacillidae.
AUAGUAACAAUUUGUAUAGCUUGCAAACUGUUUUUAAUUUGAGUAGGUGGUUUAGAACAUCUUUUUGAUGAAUACAUUAUAGUUUUUAUUGAUGUUUGGGGAGAGCCUGGCCGAGCUGCACCACGUGAGCCUGGCCUCGCUGCUGCGCGCCCACCUCGCGUGUGUGCUCUGGCCGCUGCUGGCGGCCGUCAGCUGAGCGCGGCGACCCCCCCCUUCCCGCGCCACACCAAGUGCCUAGGAGACCUCGCUGCGCCGGCCCCCGCCCGCAGCGCGCCCGUCGCUCCCCCCACGCGAGGCAGGCAUUGGACCAUGUCGAGGGCCAGUUGACUCAUUUUUAACGAUACUUUCAACUUCCAGUUUCAGACCCCGAGUCGCGGAUGAUUUUUAGGUAUGAAAAUCAAGGCAUUAUAUUAUCAUGAAUCAAAUGUUACAUAAAUAAAGUAUUUCAAAAGUG